UACGUAGGGUGCGAGCGUUAAUCGGAAUUACUGGGCGUAAAGCGUGCGCAGGCGGUCUUGCAAGACAGAUGUGAAAGCCCCGGGCUUAACCUGGGAACUGCAUUUGUGACUGCAAGGCUGGAGUGCGGCAGAGGGGGAUGGAAUUCCGCGUGUAGCAGUGAAAUGCGUAGAUAUGCGGAGGAACACCGAUGGCGAAGGCAAUCCCCUGGGCCUGCACUGACGCUGAGGAACGAAAGCGUGGGGAGCGAACAGG
Molecule: ribosomal RNA, 253 nt
Filed under: uncultured bacterium
Lineage: Bacteria
Description: partial 16S ribosomal RNA
Rfam family: Bacterial small subunit ribosomal RNA
Source: RNAcentral